This 498-nucleotide ribosomal RNA is filed under the name uncultured bacterium. RNAcentral's name for it is "bacterial SSU rRNA". It matches the Rfam family "Bacterial small subunit ribosomal RNA", at positions 28 to 536 of the family's 1533-position model. The record is from RNAcentral.
GACGAACGCUGGCGGCGUGCCUAACACAUGCAAGUCGAGCGGGGACACAGAGGUAGCAAUACGGAAGUGUUCCAGCGGCGGACGGGUGAGUAACGCGUGAGCAACCCUGUCCCGAACGGGGGGAUAACGAGCCGAAAGGCUCACUAAUACCGCAUAAGACCACGGAGCCGCAUGGCUUUGAGGUCAAAGGAGAAAUCCGGUUCGGGGUGGGCUCGCGUCUGAUUAGCUAGUUGGUGAGGUAACGGCUCACCAAGGCGACGAUCAGUAGCCGACCUGAGAGGGUGAUCGGCCACAUUGGAACUGAGAGACGGUCCAAACUCCUACGGGAGGCAGCAGUGGGGAAUAUUGGGCAAUGGACGAAAGUCUGACCCAGCAAACGCCGCGUGAAGGAAGAAGGUUUUCGGAUCGUAAACUUCUAUCCUUGGUGAAAAUAAUGAUGGUAGCCAAGAAGGAAGCCCCGGUAACUACGUGCCAGCAGCCGCGGUAAGGAGUAGUACA